This 253-nucleotide ribosomal RNA is filed under the name uncultured bacterium. RNAcentral describes it as "partial 16S ribosomal RNA". It matches the Rfam family "Bacterial small subunit ribosomal RNA", at positions 524 to 776 of the family's 1533-position model. The record is from RNAcentral.
UACAGAGGUCCCAAGCGUUGUUCGGAUUCACUGGGCGUAAAGGGUGCGUAGGUGGUGAGGUAAGUCGGAUGUGAAAGCUCCGAGCUCAACUCGGAAAUGGCAUUGGAAACUACCUUGCUCGAGGGUUUGAGGGGGGACUGGAAUACUUGGUGUAGCAGUGAAAUGCGUAGAUAUCAAGUAGAACACCAGUGGCGAAGGCGGGUAGCUGGGCCGACACUGACGCUGAGGCGCGAAAGCCAGGGGAGCGAACGGG